CCUUAGAUCGUACCCACAUUUACUUGGAUAACUGUGGUAAUUCUAGAGCUAAUACAUGCAAACCAGAGUUCCGACCAGAGAUGGAAGGAACGCUUUUAUUAGAUCAAAACCAAUCGGUGGCGGGUUCGCUCGUCCACCGUUUACCUUGGUGACUCUGAAUAACUUUGUGCUGAUCGCAUGGUCUCGUACCGGCGACGCAUCUUUCAAAUGUCUGCCUUAUCAACUGUCGAUGGUAGGUUCUGCGCCUACCAUGGUUGUAACGGGUAACGGGGAAUCAGGGUUCGAUUCCGGAGAGGGAGCCUGAGAAACGGCUACCACAUCCAAGGAAGGCAGCAGGCGCGCAAAUUACCCACUCCCGGCACGGGGAGGUAGUGACGAAAAAUAACGAUACGGGACUCAUCCGAGGCCCCGUAAUCGGAAUGAGUACACUUUAAAUCCUUUAACGAGGAUCCAUUGGAGGGCAAGUCUGGUGCCAGCAGCCGCGGUAAUUCCAGCUCCAAUAGCGUAUAUUAAAGUUGUUGCGGUUAAAAAGCUCGUAGUUGAAUUUGUGUGCCACGCUGUCGGUUCAUCGCUCGCGAUGUUUAACUGACAUGAUUGUGGGACGUCCUACCGGUGGGCUUAGCCUUUCGGGGCGGUCCAGCUAAUAUCCCAUCGCGGUGCUCUUGAUCGAGUGUCGAGGUGGGCCGGUACGUUUACUUUGAACAAAUUAGAGUGCUCAAAGCAGGCUAUGUUCGCCUGAAUACUGUGUGCAUGGAAUAAUGGAAUAGGACCUCGGUUCUAUUUUGUUGGUUUUCGGAACCCCGAGGUAAUGAUUAAUAGGGACAGAUGGGGGCAUUCGUAUUGCGACGUUAGAGGUGAAAUUCUUGGAUCGUCGCAAGACGAACAGAAGCGAAAGCAUUUGCCAAAAAUGUUUUCAUUAAUCAAGAACGAAAGUUAGAGGUUCGAAGGCGAUCAGAUACCGCCCUAGUUCUAACCAUAAACGAUGCCAGCUAGCGAUCCGCCGAAGUUCCUCCGAUGACUCGGCGGGCAGCUUCCGGGAAACCAAAGCUUUUGGGUUCCGGGGGAAGUAUGGUUGCAAAGCUGAAACUUAAAGGAAUUGACGGAAGGGCACCACCAGGAGUGGAGCCUGCGGCUUAAUUUGACUCAACAC
RNAcentral lists this ribosomal RNA (1150 nucleotides) under Torymus sp. PJ0007. Its description in RNAcentral is "SSU rRNA". It matches the Rfam family "Eukaryotic small subunit ribosomal RNA", at positions 118 to 1206 of the family's 1831-position model. Lineage: Eukaryota; Metazoa; Arthropoda; Insecta; Hymenoptera; Torymidae. The record is from RNAcentral.